GACGAACGCUGGCGGCGUGCCUAAUACAUGCAAGUCGAGCGGACUGAAUGGGAGCUUGCUCUUGUUCGGUCAGCGGCGGACGGGUGAGUAACACGUGGGCAACCUGCCCGCAAGACCGGGAUAACUCCGGGAAACCGGAGCUAAUACCGGAUAACACCGAAGACCGCAUGGUCUUUGGUUGAAAGGCGGCGCAAGCUGCCACUUGCGGAUGGGCCUGCGGCGCAUUAGCUAGUUGGUGAGGUAACGGCUCACCAAGGCGACGAUGCGUAGCCGGCCUGAGAGGGUGACCGGCCACACUGGGACUGAGACACGGCCCAGACUCCUACGGGAGGCAGCAGUAGGGAAUCUUCCGCAAUGGGCGAAAGCCUGACGGAGCGACGCCGCGUGAGCGAAGAAGGCCUUCGGGUCGUAAAGCUCUGUUGUGAGGGACGAAGGAGCGCCGUUUGAAGAAGGCGGCGCGGUGACGGUACCUCACGAGGAAGCCCCGGCUAACUACGUG
This 499-nucleotide ribosomal RNA is filed under the name uncultured bacterium. RNAcentral describes it as "partial 16S ribosomal RNA". It matches the Rfam family "Bacterial small subunit ribosomal RNA", at positions 28 to 507 of the family's 1533-position model. The record is from RNAcentral.